This 1001-nucleotide long non-coding RNA is filed under the name Panax ginseng (ginseng). RNAcentral's name for it is "long non-coding RNA (PGIN_LNC001700)". The record is from RNAcentral. Lineage: Eukaryota; Viridiplantae; Streptophyta; Magnoliopsida; Apiales; Araliaceae.
UCUCUGAUCGAUCGGAACUCCGGCACCGUCCAACUCCAAAGACAACAAAGACCCAUCACCGCAGCAUCGCUUAGAGCCUCAGACAGCAUCCCUCCCACGGUUUUGGGUCUGAUUUUUUUCACCCCAUUGAUUCUGAUUUCGAGCUCGAUUUGGGUCCCGGUCGGAACCGUGCUUUUCAAUUUUCAUUGUUGUCUCCGAUUUUUUAUCAGUUUGUUGAUUCCGAUUUGGAGUCGGUACUAUUGUUGCUGUGUCUUGGAGUCGGUUUGUUGAUUCUGAUUCAGAUUGUUUCGCAUUGAUUGCUUGUUCUAGAGGGAAAUCUAGGAUUUCGUUCAAUAUGAUAAGAAUGCUGCAAUUCUUGAAUUGGGUUUGUUUUUAAUUGUAUUGUGUUUGAUUUCUGUGAAAAUUAUUGCAUUUGUUGUUUGAUUUGAGUUUUGGGUUUAUGUGAUUUUUAUUUUGGGUUUUUGUAGGUCUAAAUUUGGGAAUUUUCUGUUUUAAUUGAUUUUGGUUUUGGUUUUUAUUUAAAAAGCUAGGAUUUAAAGAUUUUUUGAUUUUUAGUUUUCUGUGUUGUGUGGAGACUAGAGAUGGAAUUCUGAAUUUGUUGGUGAGCUAUGUAAUUGUAUUGUAGACAUGUAUAUUGAGGAAUUGAAGGAGGGAGAAGAGGGUGUGGAGAAGCAGCUAUUUGCUGCUGAUCUUUGUCGCAGCUCUGUUGUUUUUUAUACUAAAAGGGUUUUGGUCGGAGGAGGGGCUCGCAGCUCUGCUCUUUGGCUCGUGCUGAUUCGGUUUUUACCCGAAUUACCGAAAUUACAAUUCGGUAAUUCGGUAUUCGGUAUUCAGUUAUUUUUAAAUUUCGGUUAUUAUUUUGGAUAGUAAAAUUGUUACUUAUUCGAUUUUCGGUUAUAACCGAAUAGCUUAUUCGGUUCGGUUAUAACCGAAUGAUCACCCCUAUUAGAGAGUAUUUGACAAAAUUUUCACAUCUCACAAAAUCUUUUGCAUGUAAACAC